UAACUUUCAACAACGGAUCUCUUGGCUCUCACAUCGAUGAAGAACGCAGCGAAAUGCGAUAAGUAAUGUGAAUUGCAGAAUUCAGUGAAUCAUCGAAUCUUUGAACGCACAUUGCGCCCUUUGGUAUUCCGAAGGGCAUGCCUGUUUGAGUGUCUU
This 156-nucleotide ribosomal RNA is filed under the name Dioszegia crocea. Its description in RNAcentral is "5.8S ribosomal RNA". It matches the Rfam family "5.8S ribosomal RNA". From Rfam's summary of the family: 5.8S ribosomal RNA (5.8S rRNA) is a component of the large subunit of the eukaryotic ribosome. It is transcribed by RNA polymerase I as part of the 45S precursor that also contains 18S and 28S rRNA. Functionally, it is thought that 5.8S rRNA may be involved in ribosome translocation. The record is from RNAcentral. Lineage: Eukaryota; Fungi; Basidiomycota; Tremellomycetes; Tremellales; Bulleribasidiaceae.